CAUGGCUCAGGACGAACGCUGGCGGUGUGCUUCACACAUGCAAGUCGAACGAGGUAGCAAUACCUAGUGGCGGACGGGUGAGUAACGCGUGGGAAUCUGCCUUAAGAUGGGGGAUAACGAGCCGAAAGGCUCGCUAAUACCGCAUAUGCCGAAAGGUGAAAGGAGUAAUCCGUCUUAAGAUGAGCCCGCGUCCGAUUAGCUAGUUGGUAGGGUAAAGGCCUACCAAGGCGACGAUCGGUAGCUGGUCUGAGAGGAUGAUCAGCCACAAUGGGACUGAAGACACGGCCCAUACUCCUACGGGAGGCAGCAGUGGGGAAUUUUACGCAAUGGGGAAACCCUGACGUAGCGACACCGCGUGAGCGAAGAAGCCCCCUUGGGGUGUAAAGCUCUGUCAGCUGGAACGAAAAAAUAGACGGUACCAGCAGAGGAAGCAUCGGCUAACUACGUG
RNAcentral lists this ribosomal RNA (448 nucleotides) under uncultured bacterium. Its description in RNAcentral is "bacterial SSU rRNA". It matches the Rfam family "Bacterial small subunit ribosomal RNA", at positions 18 to 507 of the family's 1533-position model. The record is from RNAcentral.